UACGUAGGGCGCAAGCGUUAUCCGGAAUUAUUGGGCGUAAAGAGCUCGUAGGCGGUUUGUCGCGUCUGCCGUGAAAGUCCGGGGCUCAACUCCGGAUCUGCGGUGGGUACGGGCAGACUAGAGUGAUGUAGGGGAGACUGGAAUUCCUGGUGUAGCGGUGAAAUGCGUAGAUAUCAGGAGGAAUACCGGUGGCGAAAGCGACUCUCUGGACGGCAACUGACGCUGAGGCACGAAAGCGUGGGGAGCAAACAGG
RNAcentral lists this ribosomal RNA (253 nucleotides) under uncultured bacterium. RNAcentral describes it as "partial 16S ribosomal RNA". It matches the Rfam family "Bacterial small subunit ribosomal RNA", at positions 524 to 776 of the family's 1533-position model. The record is from RNAcentral.